Molecule: non-coding RNA, 73 nt
Organism: Stegodyphus mimosarum
Lineage: Eukaryota; Metazoa; Arthropoda; Arachnida; Araneae; Eresidae
Source: Rfam
GCCUUCGUGGUGUAAUCGAAAGCAUACUCGACGCAUAUUCGAGAGGUCAAGGGUUCGAGUCUUGGCGAAGGCA